UAAAAACAUAUAUAAUAUCAUGAAAAUUUAUUAUUAUCACCAUUUCUCUUUGGAGUUAGAUAGUCAUGAGAAAACAAUUUUCCAAUGCGGCAUAGUUUUAAGUUUAGAGUUGUUUCGUAAUAGCAGCAUUUUAAGUUAUGGAUGGUGGUCUUAAGAGCAUACAAAAUCACAUUAUACUAUAAAAAAUAAAAUAAUUAAAAUAAUUAACCAAAAAAAGAAAGAGAAAAGGUAAAAAAAAUAAUGGGUACCAAAUGAAUAAAAAGUCUCAAACAACCCAAAAAAAUUUAGUAAAGAGUUGAAUGUGGAAAAAAGAAAAAUACUUGAAGAAGAUGAAUG
RNAcentral lists this long non-coding RNA (336 nucleotides) under Lathyrus oleraceus (garden pea). Its description in RNAcentral is "Pisum sativum (pea) long non-coding RNA (PSAT_LNC001897)". The record is from RNAcentral. Lineage: Eukaryota; Viridiplantae; Streptophyta; Magnoliopsida; Fabales; Fabaceae.